Molecule: ribosomal RNA, 355 nt
Filed under: uncultured Rhodocyclaceae bacterium
Lineage: Bacteria; Pseudomonadati; Pseudomonadota; Betaproteobacteria; Rhodocyclales; Rhodocyclaceae
Description: bacterial SSU rRNA
Rfam family: Bacterial small subunit ribosomal RNA
Source: RNAcentral
AGCCAGAACACAGUGCUGCAUGGCUGUCGUCAGCUCGUGUCGUGAGAUGUUGGGUUAAGUCCCGCAACGAGCGCAACCCUUGUCAUUAGUUGCCAUCAUUUAGUUGGGCACUCUAAUGAGACUGCCGGUGACAAACCGGAGGAAGGUGGGGAUGACGUCAAGUCCUCAUGGCCCUUAUGGGUAGGGCUUCACACGUCAUACAAUGGUCGGUACAGAGGGCUGCCAACCCGCAAGGGGGAGCCAAUCCUUUAAAACCGAUCGUAGUCCGGAUUGAGGUCUGCAACUCGACCUCAUGAAGUCGGAAUCGCUAGUAAUCGCGGAUCAGCAUGUCGCGGUGAAUACGUUCCCGGGUCUU